This 1063-nucleotide unclassified non-coding RNA is filed under the name Hevea brasiliensis (rubber tree). The record is from RNAcentral. Lineage: Eukaryota; Viridiplantae; Streptophyta; Magnoliopsida; Malpighiales; Euphorbiaceae.
GCAGCAGAAAAGUCCACCCUUUCUUGUGUUUAUCAAAUUCCAAACACAACGGAACACUACUAGACUUUUCCCUCCCCCGCCUAGAUAUUUUUGCCGGCGCUUCAAUCGGCGGCGAUAACUGUGACCCUCAAAACACAACCAGUUACUCCAUGAUCCCGCUAGCCGCCGCAGAGAAAAAGGAUCCCGGCGGAAUUGGGUUCAUAGACGAAGUUGGAGGGAGUGUUGAUGGAUUAAUGUCUUGUACAGAGAGUCUCGGUUUCGAGAGUUGUGAUGAGAGGACAAUAGAUGAUCAAAUUGAGGAUCUAGGUUAUCGUGAUGAAUUAGCUUUGUAUUCUAGGCAAUCAAGUUGUAGCCAUAGUAAUACUUCAAGGUGCUGGCAAAGAAGUAAUUUGGGGGAGAAGAAAGAGAAGAAGGAGUUUCCACCACCAUUGUCGUCGUUAAGUCAAGAUGGCAAACCCAAUUUCUUCAUGCGUGCGGUGAGGAAAGAUGGACGGUUAGAAUUGACAGAGGUGAAAAUUGAUCGACCCGAAACCCUCCGUGCUUCCCGCCAAGAUGGACGGUUGAGAUUGCAUCUAAUUCGCGAUCUCGAAGAAGAAGCAGAGGAGGAAAACGAAGAUGAAACAGAGGAUGAAGAUGAAGAAGUAAUUGAAACAGAUGACGAAAUAAUUGAAGAAGAAGAGUGGAAGUUCCCGGUGUCAGGAAGUGGAAUCGGAGAUGGUCAUCGGAGAUGUUACGACGGUCAUGGUAAUAACCACCACCACGAUUUACAUUUGUGGAGGCAACGGUGUGUGACAACUAGGUGAAUUUUCAUUGAAGUAGGGACAAAGCCAUCUGAAUCUGUUUCUCGUUCAACUACAUACUCUGCCAUUUGAAAGGGAAUCCCAAAAAAAGAGUGGAAGAUGAUGACGACCCAAUGAAGUUGGAAUUAAGAAUCUGCCGGCGGCCGCCACUGAAAAAGCAUUGGGAUUCUGUUUUGCAUCAGAGAAGAAUCAGUUACCUAAAUUUCCGAAAAGACGUACAGUACAGUACAGUACAGUCCCUACAUAGUAUAGAGAAAUUUUUU